GAGUUUGAUCAUGGCUCAGGACAAACGCUGGCGGCGUGCCUAACACAUGCAAGUCGAGCGGGGAUUGCGGAAGUGCUUGCACAGAAACAAUUCUAGCGGCGGACGGGUGAGUAACGCGUGAGCAAGCUGUCCUUCACAGGGGGAUAACACUUGGAAACAGGUGCUAAUACCGCAUAAGACCACGCUGCCGCAUGGCGGAGAGGUCAAAGGAGAAAUCCGGUGAAGGGUGCGCUCGCGUCCCAUUAGAUAGUUGGCGGGUAACGGCCCACCAAGUCGACGAUGGGUAGCCGACCUGAGAGGGUGAUCGGCCACACUGGGACUGAGACACGGCCCAGACUCC
This 340-nucleotide ribosomal RNA is filed under the name uncultured bacterium. RNAcentral's name for it is "bacterial SSU rRNA". It matches the Rfam family "Bacterial small subunit ribosomal RNA", at positions 9 to 339 of the family's 1533-position model. The record is from RNAcentral.